Molecule: ribosomal RNA, 376 nt
Filed under: uncultured bacterium
Lineage: Bacteria
Description: bacterial SSU rRNA
Rfam family: Bacterial small subunit ribosomal RNA
Source: RNAcentral
AUACGUAGGUGGCGGGCGUUGUCCGGAAUUACUGGGUGUAAAGGGUGCGUAGGCGGGCAGGCAAGUUGGAUGUGAAAUACCGGGGCUUAACUCCGGGGCUGCAUCCAAAACUGCAGGUCUUGAGUGAAGUAGAGGCAAGCGGAAUUCCCAGUGUAGCGGUGAAAUGCGUAGAGAUUGGGAGGAACACCAGUGGCGAAGGCGGCUUGCUGGGCUUUAACUGACGCUGAGGCACGAAAGCAUGGGGAGCGAACAGGAUUAGAUACCCUGGUAGUCCAUGCCGUAAACGAUGGAUACUAGGUGUGGGGGGACUGACCCCCUCCGUGCCGGAGUUAACACAAUAAGUAUCCCACCUGGGGAGUACGGCCGCAAGGUUGAA